CCAAAGCAUUUAUUAAUUUUAGUUUCUGAUCAUUUUAACUUACUUAACAACAUACAACCUUAUUGUAAAGUGUUACCAAUGUAUUUAUACUGCACAUCUGCAUAUCUACAAAGCAUUCUUCAUCAUUUGUCCAAAAGUUUCUCAUCACACAGUUCCCAAAUUCACACAUAACCAUUGUAAGCAUGCAAGACUCCUGGCAGUAAGGGAACGCUAUGGCUUUAGCGCUCUAACAAGACAAUUGUCUGUGAAAUGUGACUCUGUGUUUCUUUGAUAACAGAGCUCCUGCUGGCUCUCUGGUGCAUAACAACACACAAUCAGUGAGAGGAAUUGUAUUGUGGUUGUUCUUGAGACAAGGCCGGGUGAAACCGAGAGAACAGAGGUUUGUGCUCAAGUCCCUCGGAAGUCUGAUCUAGGAUCAGAUUUCCCCUUUGUCAUGGCUGAGGGGCUCCGACCGAAUUCAUUUCUGCUCAGAGGAUUCGGAAACCAGAGUGAUGCAACCGAAUGGUCCGCGUUUAACCCGGCUGAUUCUUGCGACGGGCAAGAAAACCAAUAUGAACAUGAAUAGAAAACAAGAAAGUCCAAUGGGUUUGAUGCGACACAAGCAUGCAUAAAUGAUGACUGAAUGUUAGUUUAAGAGUAAACUAUGCUAUUAACUGUUAUUACUCAAAGCGCAAACCAAUAAAGCAAUGCCAAGUUUCACCAAUG
Misgurnus anguillicaudatus (oriental weatherfish) is the source of this 705-nucleotide long non-coding RNA. RefSeq lists it as uncharacterized. NCBI's taxonomy places the organism in Eukaryota, Metazoa, Chordata, Actinopteri, Cypriniformes, Cobitidae. The record is from RefSeq and is a predicted model, not a curated record.